This 820-nucleotide ribosomal RNA is filed under the name Mycosphaerella coacervata. RNAcentral's name for it is "LSU rRNA". It matches the Rfam family "Eukaryotic large subunit ribosomal RNA", at positions 75 to 924 of the family's 3401-position model. The record is from RNAcentral. Lineage: Eukaryota; Fungi; Ascomycota; Dothideomycetes; Mycosphaerellales; Mycosphaerellaceae.
UUGCCCUAGUAACGGCGAGUGAAGCGGCAACAGCUCAAAUUUGAAAUCUGGCGUAAGCCCGAGUUGUAAUUUGUAGAGGAUGCUUCUGGGUAGCGACCGAUCUAAGUUCCUUGGAACAGGACGUCAUAGAGGGUGAGAAUCCCGUAUGUGACCGGCCCGCACCCUUUACGUAGCUCCUUCGACGAGUCGAGUUGUUUGGGAAUGCAGCUCUAAAUGGGAGGUAAAUUUCUUCUAAAGCUAAAUACCGGCCAGAGACCGAUAGCGCACAAGUAGAGUGAUCGAAAGAUGAAAAGUACUUUGGAAAGAGAGUUAAAAAGCACGUGAAAUUGUUGAAAGGGAAGCGCCUGCAACCAGACUUCGUGGCAGUGUUCCGCCGGUCUUCUGACCGGUUUAUUCUCUGUCGCGAGGCCAUCAUCGUCUAGGCCCGCCGGAUAAGACCUUAGGAAUGUAGCUCACCUUCGGGGGAGUGUUAUAGCUUAUGGUGAUGCGGCGAGGCUUGGGCGAGGUCCGCGCUUCGGCAAGGAUGAUGGCGUAAUGGUUGUCGGCGGCCCGUCUUGAAACACGGACCAAGGAGUCUAACAUCUAUGCGAGUGUUCGGGUGUCAAACCCCUACGCGUAAUGAAAGUGAACGGAGGUGGGAACCGCAAGGUGCACCAUCGACCGAUCCUGAUGUCCUCGGAUGGAUUUGAGUAAGAGCAUAGCUGUUGGGACCCGAAAGAUGGUGAACUAUGCCUGAAUAGGGUGAAGCCAGAGGAAACUCUGGUGGAGGCUCGCAGCGGUUCUGACGUGCAAAUCGAUCGUCAAAUUUGGGUAUAGGGGC